CAAGCAUUUAUUAAGGGCUAUUAUGUGUCAGGCACCGGAGAUACAAAGGCAUGAGUGAGUGUCCUGGGCUUCAAGAUUACUUUGUGUCUGGGGAGACAGCACGUACAUAUGAAUCACACAUAAAAUAUAAAUACUAGGUAGUCUUUGAGGGUGGGAAAGACCUCACAUUGAAGGUGGUACUUAAGCAGUUUUUAAACAAUAUUCUGAGACCAAGGGAAGGGAGAAUGCAUAUUGGGUAUGGGGAUAGAAAGUGUAAAGGCACAAAGAAGUGUAAGAGAUAGUCCUCUGGAUUAAUUUGGGAGUGCAAGGAGAGAAACAAAAGGUUACAAAGUGGUCUAGGAAUUUGAAAAAUCACACAAAGGGUUUAUAUUUGAUUUAAAGGCACUGGAGUUUAAGAAAAGACACGGCGACUUUAGGAAUACCUUUAUCGGCUGUGAGGAUGGAUCAGAGGGGCCAGGUAAUUGGUGCCAAAACCAGGGCAGUGAUUGAGAGGAGAAAAGGGGAGGAUUCAGAGAUGAAGAGGAAAACACAACUGGGGAUGCAGCUGGUGAAGUACAGUGCAUGGGAUAUGGCUGAUGACCUAGGAGAGGAGAGGGAGGAGUAAUUAGGCAAGAAGGGAACCGGAGAGAAUGAUGUUCUGAGGUCAAGAGACGGCGGUCAGCCUCCAGCACUUAGGUCUGGAUGCAUCAGAGCUGUGCAAAGAUGUCUUAAAUAAAAGAUCUUUAGUAACUCUUAAGGAAUAGUUGUGAUACCCUAAUGGGACCAAAAGCAAGAAUACAGGACUGCAGUAGAGGAAAGAAACAUGGAUAACCUGCAUCUGCCUCUGAAAGGAAGGAGAAAUACUGGACAAGGACUAGAAGAAAAGUAGGGUGGUGAUGAGUGUUGUCUAAGCCAAGCAAGCCAACCAAUGUGUCAAAAGCUGAGGAUUCAAGCACAAGGAAUAAAGGGAUCUUUAUAUUAGACAUAUUCUAAUGGGGGACAAAGGCACUGACAUAAAAAGAUACAGCUUAGUUAAUACAAAAGAUACAAAAUUGUUAAACCCAGAAUUUGGGAAAGAAGGCGCUAGCAGCUGGGGACUCAGUAUUCGUUUAGUCAACAAUACUUGAUUGGUGUUUCAGAACAUAAGGCCAUCUAAGAGGCAGGCAGGGAUUCAGAGUUAGGGAAGGGUUGCAUCUCACCCACAAAAGAAAUGGAGGAACUGGGAGAAGACCAAUUUGAGUGAUCACUGAGCAAGGGAAGUCAAGUCUAAUGAAUCUAGAAAAUUAGGUUUAGGAUCAGGAUGUGUAGGGCUUUACAAAUGAGGGAAAGGCUGUAACUGCGUGUGGAUGGGAAGGGUUAAAUUAGAAACAGCAAGAUUACAACAUGAGAUUGAGGAAUCUAGGGAAAUGCUGAGAGACCAGAAGGAGAGCAGUGCCUUUGACAAAAAGGAGUCUUCAAAGGAAGGAUUUAGGGGCAAAAGAAAACCGAGUUCUGUUUUGGAAAUAUUUAGCAUGCUUGUUAGGCACUUCAGAUUGGUUGGGCUAGAAACAUAUAAUGCUAAAUGUUUCCAAAACAGAACUCAAGGGGGAGGCUAGGACUGGACACAUAAAUCUGGUUAGUCAAAUUAAAUGUAGAGAUGACAAACUUUGAGAAUUGAUGGGGUUAUCGAGAAUGAAAUAGCACAGGGAAAAGGGCCUAAAGCAAAAUCCUGAGGUACGUCCACUUGGAGAGUCUAACAUAGAUAAGCUAACAAGGAAGAAAUGUCCUAGGACAGGGAAACUAGGAUAAUCAUGAAAACUCAGAUUAAUUAGAAGUUGGUGAGAAAGCACAUCAGAUUUGGCAAUUAAAAAACCACUGGUAACUUUGGAGAGCAGUUUCAGUUGAUUGAUGAGGUUGAAAGUAAAUAGCAAAGGAGCAAAGUGGGAGCCGUUAAGUAUGGCUUGUUUUAGGAUUUUGAUAAAGGACAAAUAUUGAAUAGUAGUUUUAAGGGCUGAUAGGGAUGGAGACUUGGGUGUGUUUGAAGAUUGUGGUAGGAAAAUAGUUGAUAGGAAGCAUUCAAGUUUCAUUAAGGAGAUGAUUGAGGAUACAGUCUGUGGGAGGAAAAUAGUCAAUAGGAAGCAUUCAAGUUUCAUUAAGGAGAUGAUUGAGCAUACAGUCUGCUGGAUGAGGGGAUGGGAUCAAAGAAUCAACUUCAAGAACUAAGAGAAAUGAAGGGUGGGAGAUGUGAUGGGAUUUUGAGAUGAACAAAAC
Long non-coding RNA from Sarcophilus harrisii (Tasmanian devil), 2229 nucleotides. The record is from Ensembl. Lineage: Eukaryota; Metazoa; Chordata; Mammalia; Dasyuromorphia; Dasyuridae.